GGGGUUGUAGCUCAGUGGUAGAGCACUUGCCUCAUGUGGAAGGCACUGGAUUCAAUCCUCAGCACUACA
This 69-nucleotide transfer RNA is filed under the name Marmota monax (woodchuck). Its description in RNAcentral is "tRNA.Met". It matches the Rfam family "tRNA". Rfam says of the family: Transfer RNA (tRNA) molecules are approximately 80 nucleotides in length. Their secondary structure includes four short double-helical elements and three loops (D, anti-codon, and T loops). The record is from RNAcentral. Lineage: Eukaryota; Metazoa; Chordata; Mammalia; Rodentia; Sciuridae.